GUAUAAUGCAUACGCUGUAGUUUAUAACUUCCAGUAAUCAUCUGUUCUCACGCUGAGGUGUGACGGUGGGAUUUACCCUCGUCCGAUCAAUCGCAUCCUGACCAUCCACAGGAAACGGGACCCACCCACGUGGAAAAAGUUUGGGCCAUCGGUAAAGCACCAGCCGGCUAUAAAUGAACACGCCUGCCUGUUAUUAAACCUGCC
RNAcentral lists this unclassified non-coding RNA (204 nucleotides) under Hevea brasiliensis (rubber tree). The record is from RNAcentral. Lineage: Eukaryota; Viridiplantae; Streptophyta; Magnoliopsida; Malpighiales; Euphorbiaceae.